GGGACAGGGUUAUAGUGACAGGGUUAGGGUUAGGGUUAUAGUGACAGGGUUAUAGUGACAGGGUUAGGGAUAUAGUGACAGGGUUAGGGAUAUAGUGACAGGGUUAUAGUGACAGGGUUAGGGAUAUAGUGACAGGGAUAUAGUGACAGGGUUAGGGAUAUAGUGACAGGGUUAUAGUGACAGGGUUAGGGUUAUAGUGACAGGGUUAGAGAUAUAGUGACAGGGUUAUAGUGACAGGGUUAAGGUUAUAGUGACAGGGUUAGGGUUAUAGUGACAGGGUUAGGUUAUAGUGACAGGGUUAUGGUUAUAGUGACAGGGUUAGGGGUUAUAGUGACAGGGU
Oncorhynchus tshawytscha (Chinook salmon) is the source of this 340-nucleotide long non-coding RNA. Lineage: Eukaryota; Metazoa; Chordata; Actinopteri; Salmoniformes; Salmonidae. The record is from Ensembl.